GACGAACGCUGGCGGCGUGCUUAACACAUGCAAGUCGAACGGAAAGGCCCUGCUUUUGUGGGGUGCUCGAGUGGCGAACGGGUGAGUAACACGUGAGUAACCUGCCCUUGACUUUGGGAUAACUUCAGGAAACUGGGGCUAAUACCGGAUAGGAGCUCCUGCUGCAUGGUGGGGGUUGGAAAGUUUCGGCGGUUGGGGAUGGACUCGCGGCUUAUCAGCUUGUUGGUGGGGUAGUGGCUUACCAAGGCUUUGACGGGUAGCCGGCCUGAGAGGGUGACCGGCCACAUUGGGACUGAGAUACGGCCCAGACUCCUACGGGAGGCAGCAGUGGGGAAUAUUGCACAAUGGGCGGAAGCCUGAUGCAGCAACGCCGCGUGCGGGAUGACGGCCUUCGGGUUGUAAACCGCUUUCGCCUGUGACGAAGCGUGAGUGACGGUAAUGGGUAAAGAAGCACCGGCUAACUACGUGCCAGCAGCCGCGGUGAUACGUAGGGUGCGAGCGUUGUCCGGAUUUAUUGGGCGUAAAGGGCUCGUAGGUGGUUGAUCGCGUCGGAAGUGUAAUCUUGGGGCUUAACCCUGAGCGUGCUUUCGAUACGGGUUGACUUGAGGAAGGUAGGGGAGAAUGGAAUUCCUGGUGGAGCGGUGGAAUGCGCAGAUAUCAGGAAGAACACCAGUGGCGAAGGCGGUUCUCUGGGCCUUUCCUGACGCUGAGGAGCGAAAGCGUGGGGAGCGAACAGGCUUAGAUACCCUGGUAGUCCACGCUGUAAACGGUGGGUACUAGGUGUGGGGUCCAUUCCACGGGUUCCGUGCCGUAGCUAACGCUUUAAGUACCCCGCCUGGGGAGUACGGCCGCAAGGCUAAAACUCAAAGGAAUUGACGGGGCCCCGCACAAGCGGCGGAGCAUGCGGAUUAAUUCGAUGCAACGCGUAGAACCUUACCUGGGUUUGACAUGGAUCGGGAGUGCUCAGAGAUGGGUGUGCCUCUUUUGGGGUCGGUUCACAGGUGGUGCAUGGCUGUCGUCAGCUCGUGUCGUGAGAUGUUGGGUUAAGUCCCGCAACGAGCGCAACCCUUGUUCACUGUUGCCAGCACGUUAUGGUGGGGACUCAGUGGAGACCGCCGGGGUCAACUCGGAGGAAGGUGGGGAUGACGUCAAGUCAUCAUGCCCCUUAUGUCCAGGGCUUCACGCAUGCUACAAUGGCUGGUACAGAGAGUGGCGAGCCUGUGAGGGUGAGCGAAUCUCGGAAAGCCGGUCUCAGUUCGGAUUGGGGUCUGCAACUCGACCUCAUGAAGUCGGAGUCGCUAGUAAUCGCAGAUCAGCAACGCUGCGGUGAAUACGUUCCCGGG
This 1343-nucleotide ribosomal RNA is filed under the name uncultured bacterium. Its description in RNAcentral is "16S ribosomal RNA". It matches the Rfam family "Bacterial small subunit ribosomal RNA", at positions 28 to 1378 of the family's 1533-position model. The record is from RNAcentral.